AAUUGUAAGAAUUCUUAGCUCAUUCAGAAGUAACUUUUAUUGGUCACUUGCUUGUUUAAUAAUCAAAAGCAUAACGUCAGCACAAAAGCACAGAAAGCUACUCUGGUAAGACACAGAGUCUCUGCCACUCGAGAUUACAUAGAAGGUAUUAUAAUCCCAGGCAAACGAAAUUUCUUUCUGCAAACCUAGAACCUUUGACCCAUAUUUCCUCUGUCUGCUCUGCUCUUCCAAAGCGAAGAGGACAACUCACCCCGCUUCCUUGCAUCCACGUCCAUAUGUUCUGCCACCACUGUUUCUAAGAUGCUCUCAACCACGUAGAGUAAUUCUAACUUUUAAACAAACUUUCUUUGGCCUCUGCAGAAAGCAGGUUGGGUCUUGGAGAAAGAACGAUGAAGAGUAGUAACUCCUGUUACAACCACCGUUGCAAUACCAGUCUUUUUGCUGGAGAAAAUCAGCACAGGACAUCGCACUGGCCCGCUGUAUGGAGAAUACUGGCUGAGAGGAGCUGCAGAGCCAGAGGAUGCAUUGGUAAUUGUAAUAUUUCAACUUUGUCAACUUUGGUGACAGAGAAAGAAAAACCCAGGGAAACAUUCUACAAUCGUCUUUCUGAAACUGGAGAUGACACCGCAGUAGGUUUCAGCCUCAUGUCAUCUCCUGUCUCCUUGACAGGCCCUCCUUGGUUACCCGCCUGGAAGAAGUCUCCCCACCCCAUGUUGCUACGUAUCACAAGACUUUGUUUUCUUUCACUGUAAUUGUCACGCUUUCGACCGUUUUGUGUGUUUACUUUAUUUCCAAAUCUCCUCACCUGCACCAGAUUUAACAAAUCCUCUCACUGAGGCUGACCUGGCUCCUGCUGAUCUGAGUGCCCAGCAGCCAGCAGCCUGUGAACACCGUGUGUGUCACAUGUGUUGGAGGGGGCACUGAUUUGUCCCCAACAGAGUAGACACAUCAAGCUGUGGCCCAGCGUGCUCCUGUCUGGCCAGCACCUGUGGACUGACUGAGGGUCUCACUCACCAUGGUUUUGCCACACUGCACUGCUUCUGACAAAAGAACCCGCUUUAAGGGGGAAGGAGCAGAGCAGAGCACCCAACUGUCCACGUGACGUCUCUUUCAGGAUGUUUUAAAGGCAUCUCAUGCUCAGCACAUCCAAACCAAACUCAUGAUCUUCCCCCGUAACCCAAGGCUCUUCCGCCAUUCUCUGAGUGAAUGGUGCUGACAGCUCCUUGGUACCCAAACCAGAAACCUCAGUGCCAUCCUUGUCGCCUCCCCCUCUCUCAUCCUCAUACCUAAUCCAUUUCCAAGUCUUAUUAAUGUUCCCUUCUAAACAUUUCUUGAAUUCAUCCACUUCUCUCCGUUUCCUCCAUCCAUGCUGGGUGGAACUUUCAGGAUGACUCUUUGUUACGGUAUUAAACAGAGACUGCCAAGCUUCACCCUCUUCUUCCUCGUUGCUGCUGGCAGCGUGGACGUGAGCCAGGGAGGUGCAGAAGGUCUCUUGUAAUCAUGAGGCGACAAGGACAAACACCUCUGUGCAGGAGGAUGCAAAGUGGAAAGACGGAGUGAGCCUGGAUCCCUGAGAGGUCACUGCGCCGCCGUGCCGGGCCUGGACCACCCGCCUGGACUCGCAGAGCCCUC
This 1632-nucleotide long non-coding RNA is filed under the name Equus asinus (donkey). RNAcentral's name for it is "lncRNA (ENSEASG00005033658.1)". Lineage: Eukaryota; Metazoa; Chordata; Mammalia; Perissodactyla; Equidae. The record is from RNAcentral.